Molecule: long non-coding RNA, 2187 nt
Organism: Anopheles funestus (African malaria mosquito)
Lineage: Eukaryota; Metazoa; Arthropoda; Insecta; Diptera; Culicidae
Exons: 3
Source: RefSeq, a predicted model, not a curated record
CUUCCCUAUCGACAAAGUGUUCAUUGAUGGAUGAAUUUUUUGAAAAGGGGGUGAAAAUUUUGCUCGAAUCACCCUAAAAUGAGAGUGUGUGCGUGGCUCGCUGUAUCGCGAUAGAGUUCGGCGUGUGUCGAAUGAAUGUUCAAAAAGGUCGUAGUAGGCUAAAAACCUGUCUUUCUGUUUUCGCUCGGUCGCUGUACAUUUUCAUACGGGAAUAGUUAGUGAAUUGUGAAUUGCGUCAGUUCGUGGACUGUUUAUUCGAUUGUGGAAUAGUGUUUGCCAAGUUGUUCCAGUUCUAGUUCUAAAAGGAUAUUCCUGUGACGGCACUGGUAAGUUGUUCCGCCAGCGUGAUAACCUGUUGGAGCAGACUUCGGCUGAAUACGACGAUGCAGAGGCAGGACAAGCUGUUUCAAGACAUUUAAAAAGCGCCGCGUGGGGACAUAUGGCCACAGUUAACAGUUAACCUCAUAUCUAGAGGUUUUUGUGUACACAAAUUCAGGAAGCAGGAAGGAUUCAAGUGCCGUAGUGUGAAAUACUCCGUCAACAGAGAAAAACGCGUGUUUUCUUACAACUGCACCCACGCGUCCCUUUGGCAUACUGCUUCAAAGGUAGGCUACCCUGUACAAUCAAUGCCAUGGCGCCUAACGCAAUCGGUUGAACGUUCUACAUCCUCUUCCUCUUGCAGCUGACUUUCAUAGUUCUUCUUGGUCGCCCUCGGAUAGAGCGUAUGAAUUGACGGCCACAUCUUUUUCGCAUCAUUUGAAAGGAACAAAUUAUUGGACAUGCUCGUGAUUAUGCAGUUCUAUGAUGCACCUGCCAAUGGAAGUGAAAGACAAGCCAACCUUAGUAUUGGUUGUUUUUGCUGCUGAUCGGUUCUAAAUCGGUUUGUAUCGCAGCUAACGAUUCUCGAAGAAGUGUCAGUGUCCUAAUCUGUCUUAUUUUCAUUGCUCAACAAACAGGAUAGUGGAAACCGCUCUUGUUGACACUUUACAUAGGCGCUGGAUUGGAUUUUUCUUCGCUCUGCUCACAGUGCGUGACCUUGGUUUGUUGUGGCAAUCUAUCAUUCAAUUAACAGUCCCUUCAGCAAAACAAGUUCGGUCCUCGGUACACAUCUGAUUUCCAUAAGAAAUACGCCUGAAAUUCGAAGGAGACAAUGUUCUAUCUGCAGCUAGCACCUCUACAAACAGUGACCGAUAAAGUUUGUCGUUGAUCCUCCGUCCAGGAUAACAUACUCCGCCAAAGGUGAAGGUCGGUCGAAUCAUACACUAACUCGAGAGCGAUUCCUGACUCGAUACGAGAAUAUUAUUGGUUCCAGUAAUACAAGGUUCCAACCUUGUUUUUCGCCGUUUGUUAUACGUAAGUAUGCCUAAAUAAAACGUUUGUUAAUACUUAACUGACAUACGUAUUUUUAUCUCUUCCAUAUCGGUCUUAGAUUCCAUUUGCAGAUACAAAAUGGAGUGAAAGAUGCAAAAAAAAACGCGUGUUAAUGCGGUCAAAAUGAAAUCGAGAUCGCACCCGAACCCAAGUCAAGGACACGAUGUUAGUUUCUUUCGAAACACGCUUGCAAUUUCAUGGAAGAUUUUUGACUGUAUCUAUUUCUUUGAUACACGAUGUGAAUCUAUUGGAAACUUAUACUCGUACGGAGGGAAAUGUCCUCGUUUAUGUAUUGUUUAUGCUGCACCGAUCGAAGCUAACAGCGUGGUUAUGAAAAGGGUUGCAAAUAGUGAGCGGAAUCAUGUGUACCAGGAUUUCAAACCACUGCUUAAGAUGGUGCAGUGUACGAGCAUUGAAAAUUGUACGCUCUCUAGAUGGAAGCUGGAUUUCUUUGGGUAUGGUCAUUCUAAACUGUCUAAACUAUGUAGAAAAUGGGAAUAGAAAAAAUGGGUUGAAGGAUAAUUUAUAGAUUCACCGGGAAUAAAAUAAAAAAUUGUAUUAUUUUUGUUAAAACAAAAAAUGUUUUCAUUGCACCGUUGGAAAUCAACGGUGCGGAAAGAACGAUUGAAAAUGAACAUUACAGCGUUAAAAUGAACCUUACGAAAACGCGCUCAUGAAAUAAUGAAUCUCACGCACACACUCUCAAAAAACGGCUUCACAAGAUCUGCUGUGAAGCUUUUGUGAAGCCGCUUGUGAAGCCGUGAAUUUUACUCGAAAUUCACUCUCAGGCGAGCAGUUUGUCGAUAGGGUUGCUUU